This 218-nucleotide ribosomal RNA is filed under the name uncultured bacterium. Its description in RNAcentral is "partial 16S ribosomal RNA". It matches the Rfam family "Bacterial small subunit ribosomal RNA", at positions 114 to 335 of the family's 1533-position model. The record is from RNAcentral.
UGCCUAGGAAUCUGCCUGGUAGUGGGGGAUAACGUUCGGAAACGGACGCUAAUACCGCAUACGUCCUACGGGAGAAAGCAGGGGACCUUCGGGCCUUGCGCUAUCAGAUGAGCCUAGGUCGGAUUAGCUAGUUGGUGAGGUAAUGGCUCACCAAGGCGACGAUCCGUAACUGGUCUGAGAGGAUGAUCAGUCACACUGGAACUGAGACACGGUCCAGA